Molecule: ribosomal RNA, 484 nt
Filed under: uncultured bacterium
Lineage: Bacteria
Description: partial 16S ribosomal RNA
Rfam family: Bacterial small subunit ribosomal RNA
Source: RNAcentral
AUUGAACGCUGGCGGCAGGCCUAACACAUGCAAGUCGAGCGGAUGAAGGGAGCUUGCUCCUGGAUUCAGCGGCGGACGGGUGAGUAAUGCCUAGGAAUCUGCCUGGUAGUGGGGGAUAACGUCCGGAAACGGGCGCUAAUACCGCAUACGUCCUGAGGGAGAAAGUGGGGGAGCUUCGGACCUCACGCUAUCAGAUGAGCCUAGGUCGGAUUAGCUAGUUGGUGGGGUAAAGGCCUACCAAGGCGACGAUCCGUAACUGGUCUGAGAGGAUGAUCAGUCACAUGAGAACUGGAACACGGUCCAGACUCCUACGGGAGGCAGCAGUGGGGAAUAUUGGACAAUAGGCGAGAGCCUGAUCCAGCCAUGCCGCGUGUGUGAAGAAGGUCUUCGGAUUGUAAAGCACUUUAAGUUGGGGGGAAGGGCAGUAAGUUAAUACCUUGCUGUUUUGACGUUACCAACAGAAUAAGCACCGGCUAACUUCGUG